This 497-nucleotide ribosomal RNA is filed under the name uncultured bacterium. RNAcentral describes it as "partial 16S ribosomal RNA". It matches the Rfam family "Bacterial small subunit ribosomal RNA", at positions 28 to 507 of the family's 1533-position model. The record is from RNAcentral.
GAUGAACGCUGGCGGCGUGCCUAAUACAUGCAAGUCGAGCGAACGGACGAGAAGCUUGCUUCUCUGAUGUUAGCGGCGGACGGGUGAGUAACACGUGGAUAACCUACCUAUAAGACUGGGAUAACUUCGGGAAACCGGAGCUAAUACCGGAUAAUAUUUUGAACCGCAUGAUUCAAAAGUGAAAGACGGUCUUGCUGUCACUUAUAGAUGGAUCCGCGCUGCAUUAGCUAGUUGGUAAGGUAACGGCUUACCAAGGCAACGAUGCAUAGCCGACCUGAGAGGGUGAUCGGCCACACUGGAACUGAGACACGGUCCAGACUCCUACGGGAGGCAGCAGUAGGGAAUCUUCCGCAAUGGGCGAAAGCCUGACGGAGCAACGCCGCGUGAGUGAUGAAGGUCUUCGGAUCGUAAAACUCUGUUAUUAGGGAAGAACAUAUGUGUAAGUAUCUGUGCACAUCUUGACGGUACCUAAUCAGAAAGCCACGGCUAACUACGUG